GAUGAACGCUAGCGGCAGGCCUAAUACAUGCAAGUCGGACGGGAUUCAGGAGCUUGCUUCUGAUGAGAGUGGCGCACGGGUGCGUAACACGUAUGUAACCUACCUUUAUCAGGGGGAUAGCCUCUCGAAAGAGAGAUUAAGCCCGCAUAAAAUCACAGCACAGCAUUGUGUAAUGAUCAAAUAUUUAUAGGAUACAGAUGGGCAUGCGGAACAUUAGCUAGAUGGCGGGGUAACGGCCCACCAUGGCGACGAUGUUUAGGGGAUCUGAGAGGAUGGCCCCCCACACUGGUACUGAGACACGGACCAGACUCCUACGGGAGGCAGCAGUAAGGAAUAUUGGUCAAUGGGCGGAAGCCUGAACCAGCCAUGCCGCGUGCAGGAAGACGGCCCUACGGGUUGUAAACUGCUUUUAUACGGGAAUAAACCCAGAUACGUGUAUCUGGCUGAAUGUACUGUAAGAAUAAGGAUCGGCUAACUCCGUG
RNAcentral lists this ribosomal RNA (482 nucleotides) under uncultured bacterium. RNAcentral describes it as "partial 16S ribosomal RNA". It matches the Rfam family "Bacterial small subunit ribosomal RNA", at positions 28 to 507 of the family's 1533-position model. The record is from RNAcentral.